Molecule: long non-coding RNA, 898 nt
Organism: Cygnus olor (mute swan)
Lineage: Eukaryota; Metazoa; Chordata; Aves; Anseriformes; Anatidae
Exons: 4
Source: RefSeq, a predicted model, not a curated record
CAUUCUGCUGGAGGGGGGCUUGAAGCCCUUCUAACUUUACUUGUAGAAGUUCCCUUUGUUUUAUGGAGUGUCUGUUGGAAAGUUUUAGGAGGGAGUGGGAUGCGGCAGUAACAGCUGGAAGGAUGGGGAAAACAGCAAACAAGUUUCCAGGCAACCCUCUUGCAGUGCUCCUCCUGUCUGAAAUAAUGUUCCUCGCCCCCUAGCUCUCCUGCAGGUGCUGUUGCUGGAGGUCAUUGGCAUGUGCAGGGGUUUAGGGAGGUAAAUGAAUUAGUCCUGACCUCCUUCUUCUCUCCCGCUCCCUUUUUGUUUUUAAACAGGGAAAGGCUUUGUCUGAGGGCUGAAUUUAGGUCAAAUUUGGAACUGGAACUCUGAAAACAACCCUCUUCCCCCAAAAAUGGUGCUGCAAAUUGGUCUUUCAGCAUUGUAUUCAGGCUGUGUGCUGUUCACUAACCUUCUCAUGCAUCCUGCUGUGCAUCCUGAUCAAAGCCCUGCUUAGGUGCUAAUCCUGCACUCCUUGUUCCCACCAGCAUCCAGCUGGGGAGCUGCUGAUGCUGGGAGAUGUGGCUCCACUUUCCUCGCUUCUGGUCAUUCCCUCUGCUGGCUCUGCUUCUGUAUCUGCUGCUUAUAGGAAGGACUCAUCACAGCCUGAUGUGUCACAGCACGGCUUGGAGACGAGGUGUGCUGCUCUGUUGGAGCUUGAGGUCUAUCUGACCAGGUCGAGGAAGACCGAGGAGUACAGAUGGGCUUGCAGUGUUUGAAAGCUGCACAGACCUCCUUGCAUUUAAAAUUUAAAUAAUUAAAUAAAAUUUAAAUUAAAUUCUCCUUGGGUGAGCAGCAAGAAGGGGAGCCCUCAAUCUGGUGCCAGCACAACAGCAAAGAGCAGGAGAAGAAACUGAGG